RNAcentral lists this ribosomal RNA (429 nucleotides) under Gemmatimonadota bacterium. RNAcentral describes it as "Gemmatimonadetes bacterium partial 16S ribosomal RNA". It matches the Rfam family "Bacterial small subunit ribosomal RNA", at positions 355 to 776 of the family's 1533-position model. Lineage: Bacteria; Pseudomonadati; Gemmatimonadota. The record is from RNAcentral.
UAGGGAAUCUUCGGCAAUGGACGAAAGUCUGACCGAGCAACGCCGCGUGAGUGAAGAAGGUUCUCGGAUCGUAAAACUCUGUUGUUAGAGAAGAACAAGGACGUUAGUAACUGAACGUCCCCUGACGGUAUCUAACCAGAAAGCCACGGCUAACUACGUGCCAGCAGCCGCGGUAAUACGUAGGUGGCAAGCGUUUUCCGGAUUGAUUGGGCGUAAAGCGAGCGCAGGCGGUUUCUUAAGUCUGAUGUGAAAGCCCUCGGCUCAACCGGGGAAGGUCAUUGGAAACUGGGGAGCUUGAGUGCGGAAGAGGAGGGUGGAAUUCCAUGUGUAGCGGUGAAAUGCGUAGAUAUAUGGAGGAACACCAGUGGCGAAGGCGGCUCUCUAGUCUGUAACUGACGCUGAGGCUCGAAAGCGUGGGGAGCAAACAGG